UAAGAGUAAAAAGCGCCCGGGUGGCGCUGAGAAGCAUCGGGAAAAAAAGCUGAAGUCUCUGGAGGUGGAGGCUGCUAAAUGUGCCAAACUGACGGACCUGUUUGGUGCCGGGUUCACCAGCCCAGCAGCAGCAGAUGCGCCGGGAGACGAGCGAGGAGGACUCGACAAUGAUGAGCGAGUGAAGGCAGACAUGGUUGUUGUGAUAUAUUUGAGGAGUCGUUCUCCCUCUGUUUUAUAUGUGGACAUUUGGGACCACUGUUAGAAUUUGGUCGACCACUUGACAUGUGAGAGCCUGAGGAGUUGUUUUCCAGACACAGGUAGAGCUAACAGGGGCGUCACCCUGGGCCUGCCCUUUUGGGCUGGGCUUCAGCUGCAGAUCUAAAGGCUGCUUCCAGGGGCAUGGGGCCCUCAGCCUUUGUUUUUCUUUGCUUCUGCACCUUACAACAUACAUCACACCUUAUUUUCACACAUCCAAACACUGUUAACACCACUGACGCGUAACAUAUUUUACACAUCCCACUACGUAGUUAGAGCUAUCUUGAUUUGGAGUUAAAUAAAUUUACUUUUGGCUUGA
Long non-coding RNA from Pleuronectes platessa (European plaice), 574 nucleotides. RefSeq lists it as uncharacterized. The transcript is spliced from 3 exons. Lineage: Eukaryota; Metazoa; Chordata; Actinopteri; Pleuronectiformes; Pleuronectidae. The record is from RefSeq and is a predicted model, not a curated record.